Molecule: ribosomal RNA, 206 nt
Filed under: uncultured bacterium
Lineage: Bacteria
Description: partial 16S ribosomal RNA
Rfam family: Bacterial small subunit ribosomal RNA
Source: RNAcentral
UGCGUAGGUGGUCUGAUAAGUCAGAAGUGAAAGGCUACGGCUUAACCGUAGUAAGCUUCUGAAACUGUUGGACUUGAGUGCAGGAGAGGAAAGUGGAAUUCCUAGUGUAGCGGUGAAAUGCGUAGAUAUUAGGAGGAACACCAGUGGCGAAGGCGACUUUCUGGACUGUAACUGACACUGAGGCACGAAAGCGUGGGGAGCGAACA